GGGAGUGUAGCUCAAUGGUAGAGUGCAUGCUUAGCAUGCACAACGCCCUGGGUUCAACCCCUAGUACCUCCA
This 72-nucleotide transfer RNA is filed under the name Camelus bactrianus (Bactrian camel). It matches the Rfam family "tRNA". Rfam says of the family: Transfer RNA (tRNA) molecules are approximately 80 nucleotides in length. RNAcentral also lists the same sequence under 2 other names. The record is from Rfam by way of RNAcentral. Lineage: Eukaryota; Metazoa; Chordata; Mammalia; Artiodactyla; Camelidae.